AGAGCCCGAGCAGCGGCCAGGGCAGCGCUGGCUUGUGGACCCGUACUUCCCACCCGAGACCUCUCACUGAGCCCGAGCCGCGCGCGACAUGAGCCACGGGAAGGGAACCGACAUGCUCCCGGAGAUCGCCGCCGCCGUAGGCUUCCUCUCCAGCCUCCUGAGGACCCGGGGCUGCGUGAGCGAGCAGCGGCUUAAGGUCUUCAGCGGGGCGCUCCAGGAGGCACUCACAGAGCACUACAAACACCACUGGUUUCCUGAAAAGCCGUCCAAGGGCUCCGGCUACCGCUGCAUUCGCAUCAACCACAAGAUGGACCCCAUCAUCAGCAGGGUGGCCAGCCAGAUCGGACUCAGCCAGCCCCAGCUGCACCAGCUGCUGCCCAGCGAGCUGACCCUGUGGGUGGACCCCUAUGAGGUGUCCUAUCGCAUUGGGGAGGACGGCUCCAUCUGCGUCUUGUACGAGGAGGCCCCAGUGGCCGCCUCCUGUGGGCUCCUCACCUGCAAGAACCAAGUGCUGCUGGGCCGGAGCAGCCCCUCCAAGAACUACGUGAUGGCGGUCUCCAGCUAGACCCGUCCGCCCCCGCCCUGGGCGCCGCCGUGCUCAUGCUGCCGUGACAACAGGCCACCACAUACCUCAACCUGGGGAACUGUAUUUUUAAAUGAAGAGCUAUUUAUAUAUAUAUUAUUUUUUUUUUAAGAAAAGAGGAGGAAAAAAAAACCAAAAGAUUUUUUUUAAGAAAAAAAAUCCUUCAAGGGAGCUGCUUGGAAGUGGCCUCCCCAGGUGCCUUUGGAGAGAACUGUUGUGUGUGCUUGAGUCUGUGAGCCAGUCUCUGCCUCCUUUUCAACUCUCCACAUUUUGUAUUGCCUUCCCAGACCCUGCUUCCAGUCUUUAUUGCUUUAAAGUUCACUUUGGGCCCACAGACCCAAGAGCUAAUUUUCUGGCUUGUGGGUUGAAACAAAGCUGUGAAUCACUGCAGGCUGUGUUCUUGCAUCUUGUCUGCAAACAGGUCCCUGCCUUUUUAGAAGCAGCCCCAUGGUCUCAUGCUUAAUCUUGUCUCUCUUCUCUUCUUGAUGAUGUUCACUUUAAAAACAAUGAAACCCCCGAGCUGGACUGUUGAGCAGGCCUGUCUCUCCUAUUAAGUAAAAAUAAAUAAUAGUAGUAUGUUUGUAAGCUAUUCUGACAGAAAAGACAAAGGUUACUAAUUGUAUGAUAGUGUUUUUAUAUGGAAGAAUGUACAGCUUAUGGACAAAUGUACACCUUUUUGUUACUUUAAUAAAAAUGUAGCAGGAUAAA
Molecule: RNA transcript, 1291 nt
Organism: Mandrillus leucophaeus (drill)
Lineage: Eukaryota; Metazoa; Chordata; Mammalia; Primates; Cercopithecidae
Gene: BTG2
Gene name: BTG family, member 2
Exons: 3
Source: RefSeq, a predicted model, not a curated record